Molecule: long non-coding RNA, 2383 nt
Organism: Lutra lutra (Eurasian river otter)
Lineage: Eukaryota; Metazoa; Chordata; Mammalia; Carnivora; Mustelidae
Exons: 9
Source: RefSeq, a predicted model, not a curated record
UCACCCUGGCCUCCGGCCGCGCUCCGAGCUGACUGAGCCUGCGACCGGUUCAAGGGUCUCCUGUAGAACCAACCAUGUGGAAAAACUUAGUGCUGUAUUUCCAUUUUCCACCAGGAGUCUCUCCUUGUUUGGCCUGGCUGGUGCUUGACACAAGGUUUCUGAAGCUCUGCUUCUGCCCACUGAAAGACAAAGAAAGAAGGAAAAAAGAGUUUUCUCUUGGGAUCACUUCCUGACUCUGCAGUGGCUCCUGAACAUCAUCUCAGGGUCUGCUCUUGUGGAACCUGACCCGAGACAGGUAUCCUGUUGACCUUGCAUUUGACUCAGACAGAUCAUACCAGGUUUAUACACUUACUCUUUGCUGAGCACUGGAGAAAGCCUGAGUCUACGAAAAGUGAUGCAUUUGUUGCCUUGCUCUCAAGAUGCCACCUCUUUGAGAAAACCAAACUAAAAAGCCCCGAAAAAUAAGUCACGGAGAAUGAGAUAUGACAAAGCUGGAUGAGACCACGUGUCAGUGACAGACCUAAGUGGUAACACUUGAAGUGAGUGUGAAGAUACAGUGGGAUGAUCCAUAGAAAGCACUCUAUAUGGAGUCAGAUGAGUCCUGAUACACUGAUGUAUGCCAUAAUUCUACACUACAAUCCAUUGCCUGCCAAAAACUCUAAUAUCAUGAGAACUAAUCUGUUGUGCUGGUGAAAUGUUCUUAUCUCAGGUAAAUUGCAUGAAGCUCCCUUGUCAGUUCCAGAUACAAAGUAAUCUGUGAACCAGUGCUCUUUAAAAAAUCUAGUUUCCAGGUGGAUAGCCAGUCAGAUGCUACUUUAGCCUUCAUGUCACCAAGGCUCAAAAUAGAUACUCUUCAGUUCAGAGUUGAUGCUUUUAGAUGUUCUGGUGUCAUUAACAAUGUGGUGAGUUAUUUUUCUUGCUUCUCUGUGGUUAUCUAGCAUUAAUAUCCUAAUUGUCUGAGUCCAAUCUAAGUUUCAGCUAUAAAUUAUUCUCUAGAUAUAUUAUAUGUCAUUUGAAGGCUAUUUAAGGAUCAGCUGAGUAUCAGAUUCUUUAAACAAAACUUGCUCGCAGGGCACCUGGUUGGCUCAGUCAGCCUUUAGCUCAGGUCAUGAUCCUGGGUUCCUGGGUUGAAGCCCUGUGUCAGGCUCUCUGCUGUGUGGGGAGUCUGCUUAUCCAUCUCCCUCUGCUCUUGCCUUGGCCUAUUCUCAUUCUCUCUCUCUAAAAUAAAUAAAUGAAUAAAUAAUCUUUAAACAAGACUUGCUCUUUCAAUAGAUCAAGCAAUGUAUGAGUACAGCUAUUGGAGCAUUUGAAUGCCAAUGGCACUCAACAACUUCAGGUAUAAACUACUAUGUCAAAAUAGAGGCAAAUUUAGUAAAAAUGUAAAAAGUUGUUAGCGGUAGCGGUAGCGGUAGACCUUUGAGGCUAUAUAGAACAAAUAAGAUUUUUCUCAGGUAUUAGAACAGGCAGGGGAAGAAUAAAGCUGUAAUUUGUGACCACAAUUAACAUUAACCAUCUAUAUCUAUGUCAAGGAACUAAGCAUUUUACAUGAUAAUUUUAAUAUAAUAUGUAGGUCUUUUUAAACUACAUAAUCCGUAGUUAUUAAUAAUAACUAAGACAACUGGAAAAUGUGGUUUUCAAUCAAUGCCCAUGUCUCUUAAGCCAUAUUCUUUCCUAAUUAAAGAAUCGAGGAGAGUUCUCAACCUUAGCUGCAUGACAUAUCACCUAGGAAGCUCUUAAAAAUGUUAUUACCCCAGACACUAACCCCAAAAACUAAAUCAUGAACUUUAGAGUGUAGAACCCAGAUGUUAAUAAUAAUAAUUCUGAAACUUCCCAGGUGAUCCCAACAUGCAUCUAAGGUUGAGAAAUUCUGGUCUAGAAUAAAUACAAUUAACAAGUAGUUUCAGGAAAGGCUAAAUUGAUAGAUACUUUUUUCAACUGAAUCAUACCUCAUUCACUAAUACUAAGCUUUGGAAUAACAAUCAAAGCUAGUUAGUAUAACUUUGCAAUACAUAAAUCUGUCAUAUUACAGGUGAUAUCUGCUAUUUUGCUCCAAUUUAAUCUUACUACAAGCUUGUUAAAGGUUAUUAGAAGCUUUGUUUCUUUAGUGUUCCAAGUUUAGCCUUCAGUAUCACUUCAGCAAAGUUUGCACCUGUUUUCUAGAUGAGAAAAGAUGAUUAACCCAGUAAAGGAUUACAAUUAGCUAUAAGAGGGUCAAAGCAAUGAAUAUGAGGAGUAGAAUCUCAGAUCAGCUUUCCUAUAUUGGAAAGCUCUCUUCCUACCACAACUUAUUCAGGGUAAGACUCUAAAUAUCUAGUUUGAACUCCAUUUUCUGAGUACUGAGCCCCAUAAUUAACUGAUUGUCUUAUGUUGGCCAUAGAAUACG